This 497-nucleotide ribosomal RNA is filed under the name uncultured bacterium. RNAcentral's name for it is "partial 16S ribosomal RNA". It matches the Rfam family "Bacterial small subunit ribosomal RNA", at positions 28 to 507 of the family's 1533-position model. The record is from RNAcentral.
GACGAACGCUGGCGGCGUGCCUAAUACAUGCAAGUUGAGCGCUGAAGGUUGGUACUUGUACCAACUGGAUGAGCAGCGAACGGGUGAGUAACGCGUGGGGAAUCUGCCUUUGAGCGGGGGACAACAUUUGGAAACGAAUGCUAAUACCGCAUAAAAACUUUAAACACAAGUUUUAAGUUUGAAAGAUGCAAUUGCAUCACUCAAAGAUGAUCCCGCGUUGUAUUAGCUAGUUGGUGAGGUAAAGGCUCACCAAGGCGAUGAUACAUAGCCGACCUGAGAGGGUGAUCGGCCACAUUGGGACUGAGACACGGCCCAAACUCCUUCGGGAGGCAGCAGUAGGGAAUCUUCGGCAAGGGACGAAAGUCUGACCGAGCAACGCCGCGGGAGUGAAGAAGGGUUUCGGAUCGUAAAACUCGGUUGGUAGAGAAGAACGUUGGUGAGAGUGGAAAGCUCAUCAAGUGACGGUAACUACCCAGAAAGGGACGGCUAACUACGUG